UUUUUUAAAAAAAAUUUAAUCAUUUUUAAAGAAACAAAAAAAACCUGAACUUUUUAUCCAAUUUGCAAUUUUGGCCAAAUCUUUAUGAGAAAUGAUAAAUUAUAGUCUAAACUUUCAAAUAUGAUGACAUGCAAUUGUGUUCAGAUUAUGAAAAUACUUUGCAAAAUGAAUUAAAAUCAGUUUUUAACAUGAUCAUUGUUCAGAGAUAUAUGAAUAGGCUAUCAAAUAUAUCAUUAUGUGCAGGUAAUUUCUUCUUUUACAAGUUAAUCAUACAUGAAAUUAAAUAGGUUUGGUUUGCUAUGCCAUGAUUGCAACAAUAACUACAGUUAUAAUUGGCGAGUUAGACCGUAACUGCAAAUUGAGCAAUGGCUUAGGUCUUUCGGUUAUUAACCCUUCUAAGAAAGUACGAUGUGUGAACAACAUAAACCUUUGUGGUUUUAAAAAUAAUGGAGCUGGAUGCUUGCUGCCUUGCAAGUAAAGCAGGUGUAAACAAGAGCUACAAAUUUAAUUCGUUAACUUUGCCAUUUGAGGUGUGAUUGUAUUCAAAUGGCUCACUUGAAAGAAAAUUGGCAGAACAGCAAAUUCUAAAUCAAAACCAAGGGGGGAAGUGCAAGUGACAAUUGGCUGGCCCCCUUUAAAUGUUCUGAACUGUGGUAAUCUACAUAAGAAUCUGACAACAAUAGGGAGUUUGCUUUUGAAUGUUUUGGAUAAAUGAGAUGCAGUGAACAUUUUAAGUUGUGGUUCUCAAACUCUUUGCUUAUCUCAUCAUAGACUGGCCGUGAUUUAUACAGUCAAACAGAAGAAGACUUGAGGUGUGUUGGGAGAAAUUUAACGUUUAUUUUGUUUUGUUGCUUAGAGUUACUAAUGUUAAAAUCAUUUAAUCAGAAUGCUUUAUACAUGUUACUGGAGGGAUUGUCUGUAAUAGUUCAAAGCGUGUGCAACAGUUUGUUUCAAAAUAUAUGUUAAAGACUAUUAAUAUUUGCUGUAAACAUUUCUUCGCUAGAAACUAUAAAAGAUUUAAAUAGUAGUAUUGCAUCUUUGAAGUUUUUUUGUUUGUAAUAUUAUUGAGACUCAAGGAUAGAUUAUCAUAGCAGAGAUAUAAUGGAUGCUUCUACGUUUUUAUUGGAGAUGUGUUUGCCGUUUGUAAUGCAUGCUUUUAGUUUUGCUUUUUUUUCUUGAUGUUCUGUGAUCAUGUCCUCAGGUAAGUUAUGAAAUGGGAUUUGUG
This 1225-nucleotide unclassified non-coding RNA is filed under the name Hevea brasiliensis (rubber tree). Lineage: Eukaryota; Viridiplantae; Streptophyta; Magnoliopsida; Malpighiales; Euphorbiaceae. The record is from RNAcentral.